AUUGAACGCUGGCGGCAUGCCUUACACAUGCAAGUCGAACGGCAGCGCGGGCUUCGGCCUGUCGUCGCGUGGCGAACGGGGGAGUAAUAGAUAUGAACGGGCCCCGUAGUGGGGGAGAGCGCGGCGAAAGGCGGAUGAAUACCGCAAACGCCCUGUGGGUGAAAACGGGGGAUCUGCGCACCUCGCGCUCUUGGAGCGGCCGGUGGCAGAUUAGCGAGUUGGUGGGGUAAAGGCCUACCAAGGCGACGAUCUGUAGCUGGUCUGAGAGGACGACCAGCCACACUGGGACUGAGACACGGCCCAGACUCCUACGGGAGGCAGCAGUGGGGAAUUUUGGACAAUGGGCGAAAGCCUGAUCCAGCAAUGCCGCGUGUGUGAUGAAGGCCUUCGGGUUGUAAAGCACUUUUGGCGGGAACGAAAAGGAUUGUGCUAAUACCACGGUUCGAUGACGGUACCCGCAGAAUAAGCACCGGCUAACUACGUG
RNAcentral lists this ribosomal RNA (484 nucleotides) under uncultured bacterium. Its description in RNAcentral is "partial 16S ribosomal RNA". It matches the Rfam family "Bacterial small subunit ribosomal RNA", at positions 29 to 507 of the family's 1533-position model. The record is from RNAcentral.